This 873-nucleotide ribosomal RNA is filed under the name human gut metagenome. RNAcentral describes it as "bacterial SSU rRNA". It matches the Rfam family "Bacterial small subunit ribosomal RNA", at positions 33 to 906 of the family's 1533-position model. The record is from RNAcentral.
ACGCUGGCGGCGUGCUUAACACAUGCAAGUCGAACGAAGCUUGAUUACGGAUUCUUCGGAUGAAGUAUGAUAUGACUGAGUGGCGGACGGGUGAGUAACGCGUGAGUAACCUGCCCUUCAGAGGGGGAUAGCGUUUGGAAACGAACGGUAAUACCGCAUAAUGUAUUUUGACCGCAUGAUCGAAAUACCAAAGAUUUAUCGCUGAAGGAUGGACUCGCGUCUGAUUAGGUAGUUGGUGGGGUAACGGCCUACCAAGCCGACGAUCAGUAGCCGGACUGAGAGGUUGAUCGGCCACAUUGGGACUGAGACACGGCCCAGACUCCUACGGGAGGCAGCAGUGGGGAAUAUUGCACAAUGGGCGCAAGCCUGAUGCAGCAACGCCGCGUGAAGGAAGACGGUUUUCGGAUUGUAAACUUCUGUUCUUAGUGAAGAAUAAUGACGGUAGCUAAGGAGCAAGCCACGGCUAACUACGUGCCAGCAGCCGCGGUAAUACGUAGGUGGCAAGCGUUGUCCGGAAUUACUGGGUGUAAAGGGAGCGCAGGCGGGUGAUCAAGUCAGCUGUGAAAACUACGGGCUUAACCCGUAGACUGCAGUUGAAACUGUUCAUCUUGAGUGAAGUAGAGGUUGGCGGAAUUCCGAGUGUAGCGGUGAAAUGCGUAGAUAUUCGGAGGAACACCGGUGGCGAAGGCGGCCAACUGGGCUUUAACUGACGCUGAGGCUCGAAAGUGUGGGGAGCAAACAGGAUUAGAUACCCUGGUAGUCCACACUGUAAACGAUGAUUGCUAGGUGUGGGGGGUCUGACCCCUUCCGUGCCGGAGCUAACGCAAUAAGCAAUCCACCUGGGGAGUACGACCGCAAGGUUGAAACUCAAAG